Molecule: long non-coding RNA, 235 nt
Filed under: Homo sapiens (human)
Lineage: Eukaryota; Metazoa; Chordata; Mammalia; Primates; Hominidae
Description: HSALNT0197631
Source: RNAcentral
GUCAAUUCUCUAGUAAGCCAUUCAGAGAAGAAAAUGUACUAACUGUCCAAACCCAGACUCUACCUGUAGGGACAUCUGGAUGUGGUUUCUUUUGUUGAGGACGGCAGGUUACCAUCGACAAGUGUGUGCCCUCUCGAAGGUCUACCUUAGAAGGUAAAGUGAUUCUGAAGUUCUGCUUCUGGAGAAUAAAUGACUGCCACAUCUUCCUUCGAGGUAGGAUGAAGCUGAGAAGGUA